RNAcentral lists this ribosomal RNA (505 nucleotides) under uncultured Glomeraceae. RNAcentral's name for it is "SSU rRNA". It matches the Rfam family "Eukaryotic small subunit ribosomal RNA", at positions 569 to 1078 of the family's 1831-position model. The record is from RNAcentral. Lineage: Eukaryota; Fungi; Glomeromycota; Glomeromycetes; Glomerales; Glomeraceae.
AGCAGCCGCGGUAAUUCCAGCUCCAAUAGCGUAUAUUAAAGUUGUUGCAGUUAAAAAGCUCGUAGUUGAAUUUCGAGACCGGUUUAUUGGUCGUGCUUUUGUACGUACUGGUAUUAUUGGUUUCUCCUUUCUGACGAAUCUUAAUGCCAUUAAUUUGGUGUUUUGGGGAAUCAGGACUGUUACUUUGAAAAAUUAGAGUGUUUAAAGCAGGCUCACGCUUGAAUACAUUAGCAUGGAAUAACGGAAUAGGACGUUUGAUUCUAUUUUGUUGGUUUCUAGGAUCGACGUAAUGAUUAAUAGGGAUAGUUGGGGGCAUUAGUAUUCAAUUGUCAGAGGUGAAAUUCUUGGAUUUAUUGAAGACUAACUACUGCGAAAGCAUUUGCCAAGGAUGUUUUCAUUAAUCAAGAACGAAAGUUAGGGGAUCGAAGACGAUCAGAUACCGUCGUAGUCUUAACCAUAAACUAUGCCGACUAGGGAUCGGAUGAUGUUAAUUUUUAAUGACUCA